Molecule: ribosomal RNA, 173 nt
Filed under: Desulforamulus profundi
Lineage: Bacteria; Bacillati; Bacillota; Clostridia; Eubacteriales; Peptococcaceae
Description: Desulfotomaculum profundi partial 23S ribosomal RNA
Rfam family: Bacterial large subunit ribosomal RNA
Source: RNAcentral
GGCAGGGAUAAGUGCUGAAAGCAUCUAAGCACGAAGCCCCCUUCAAGAUGAGGUUUCCCACUACGCAAGUAGGUAAGAUCCCAUGMAGACUACAUGUAGAUAGGCCGGGGGUGUAAGCGCAGCAAUGUGUUCAGCCGACCGGUACUAAUAGAUCGAGGUCUUGACCUAAUUUG